RNAcentral lists this ribosomal RNA (210 nucleotides) under Nitrosopumilaceae archaeon. RNAcentral's name for it is "partial 23S ribosomal RNA". It matches the Rfam family "Archaeal large subunit ribosomal RNA", at positions 24 to 227 of the family's 2987-position model. Lineage: Archaea; Thermoproteati; Nitrososphaerota; Nitrososphaeria; Nitrosopumilales; Nitrosopumilaceae. The record is from RNAcentral.
AGGAGGAUUGCUAGGCUUGAGGAGAGAAGAAGGACGUGGCAAGCUGCGAUAAGCUCGGGGUAGGCGCACGCAUCCUAUGAUCCCGAGAUGUCCGAAUGAGAAUCUUACACUUUUGUGUAUUCCAGUACACUGGUAUUGGAAGUCGAACCGUGGGAAUUGAAGCAUCUUAGUACCACGUGGAAAAGAAAUCAAUUGAGAUUUCCCAAGUAG